UACGUAGGUGGCAAGCGUUGUCCGGAUUUACUGGGCGUAAAGCGAACGCAGGCGGAUGGUUAAGUAAGAAGUGAAAGGUCGGGGCUCAACCCCAACACUGCUUCUUAUACUGGCCGUCUUGAGUUCCGGAGAGGAAAGCGGAACUGCACGUGUAGCGGUGAAAUGCGUUGAUAUGUGCAGGAACACCAAUGGCGAAAGCAGCUUUCUGGACGAGAACUGACGCUCAUGUUCGAAAGCCAAGGGAGCGAACAGG
RNAcentral lists this ribosomal RNA (253 nucleotides) under uncultured bacterium. RNAcentral's name for it is "partial 16S ribosomal RNA". It matches the Rfam family "Bacterial small subunit ribosomal RNA", at positions 524 to 776 of the family's 1533-position model. The record is from RNAcentral.